This 503-nucleotide ribosomal RNA is filed under the name uncultured bacterium. RNAcentral describes it as "partial 16S ribosomal RNA". It matches the Rfam family "Bacterial small subunit ribosomal RNA", at positions 30 to 523 of the family's 1533-position model. The record is from RNAcentral.
AUUGAACGCUGGCGGCAGGCUUAACACAUGCAAGUCGAGCGGGGUGAUGGUGCUUGCACUAUCACUUAGCGGCGGACGGGUGAGUAAUGCUUAGGAAUCUGCCUAUUAGUGGGGGACAACAUCUCGAAAGGGAUGCUAAUACCGCAUACGUCCUACGGGAGAAAGCAGGGGAUCACUUGUGACCUUGCGCUAAUAGAUGAGCCUAAGUCGGAUUAGCUAGUUGGUGGGGUAAAGGCCUACCAAGGCGACGAUCUGGAGCGGGUCUGAGAGGAUGAUCCGCCACACUGGGACUGAGACACGGCCCAGACUCCUACGGGAGGCAGCAGUGGGGAAUAUUGGACAAUGGGGGGAACCCUGAUCCAGCCAUGCCGCGCGUGUGAAGAAGGCCUUAUGGUUGUAAAGCACUUUAAGCGAGGAGGAGGCUCUUUUGGUUAAUACCCAAGAUGUGUGGACGUUACUCGCAGAAUAAGCACCGGCUAACUCUGUGCCAGCAGCCGCGGUAA